RNAcentral lists this ribosomal RNA (279 nucleotides) under uncultured bacterium. RNAcentral's name for it is "partial 16S ribosomal RNA". It matches the Rfam family "Bacterial small subunit ribosomal RNA", at positions 506 to 784 of the family's 1533-position model. The record is from RNAcentral.
UGCCAGCAGCCGCGGUAAUACGAAGGUCCCAAGCGUUGUUCGGAAUAACUGGGCGUAAAGCGCACGUAGGCGGAUUAGUCAGUCAGGGGUGAAAUCCCGAGGCUCAACCUCGGAACUGCCUUUGAUACUGCUAGUCUAGAGUUCGAGAGAGGUGAGUGGAAUUCCGAGUGUAGAGGUGAAAUUCGUAGAUAUUCGGAGGAACACCAGUGGCGAAGGCGGCUCACUGGCUCGAUACUGACGCUGAGGUGCGAAAGCGUGGGGAGCAAACAGGAUUAGAUA